GAUGAACGCUGGCGGCGUGCCUAAUACAUGCAAGUCGAGCGAACAGACGAGGAGCUUGCUCCUCUGACGUUAGCGGCGGACGGGUGAGUAACACGUGGAUAACCUCCCUAUAAGACUGGGAUAACUUCGGGAAACCGGAGCUAAUACCGGAUAAUAUAUUGAACCGCAUGGUUCAAUAGUGAAAGACGGUUUUGCUGUCACUUAUAGAUGGAUCCGCGCCGCAUUAGCUAGUUGGUAAGGUAAAGGCUUAUCAAGGCAACCAUGCGUAGCCGACCUGAGAGAGUGAUCGGCCACACGGGAACUGAGACACGGACCAGGCUCCUACGGGAGGGAGCAGUAGGGAAUCGGCCGCAAUAGGCGAAAGCCUUACGGAGCAACGCCGCGUGAGUGAUGAAGGUCUUCGGAUCGUAAAACUCUGUUAUGAGGGAAGAACAAAUGUGUAAGUAACUAUGCACGUCUUGACGGUACCUAAUCAGAAAGCCACGGCUAACUACGUG
RNAcentral lists this ribosomal RNA (497 nucleotides) under uncultured bacterium. RNAcentral describes it as "partial 16S ribosomal RNA". It matches the Rfam family "Bacterial small subunit ribosomal RNA", at positions 28 to 507 of the family's 1533-position model. The record is from RNAcentral.